RNAcentral lists this unclassified non-coding RNA (344 nucleotides) under soil metagenome. Its description in RNAcentral is "partial contains 5.8S ribosomal RNA, internal transcribed spacer 2, and large subunit ribosomal RNA". The stretch from base 2 to 119 matches the Rfam family "5.8S ribosomal RNA", at positions 37 to 154 of the family's 154-position model. The record is from RNAcentral.
GUGAAGAACGCAGCGAAAUGCGAUACGUAAUGUGAAUUGCAGAAUUCAGCGAAUCAUCGAGUCUUUGAACGCACAUUGCGCCCCCUGGUAUUCCGGGGGGCAUGCCUGUCCGAGCGUCAUUGCUGCCCUCAAGCACGGCUUGUGUGUUGGGCCUCCGUCCUCCUCCCGGGGGACGGGCCCGAAAGGCAGCGGCGGCACCGCGUCCGGUCCUCGAGCGUAUGGGGCUUCGUCACCCGCUCUUGUAGGCCCGGCCGGCGCUUGCCGACACAUCAAUCUUUUUUCCAGGUUGACCUCGGAUCAGGUAGGGAUACCCGCUGAACUUAAGCAUAUCAAUAAGCGGAGGA